GAUGAAGAACGUAGCAAAAUGCGAUAAGUAAUGUGAAUUGCAGAAUUCAGUGAAUCAUCGAAUCUUUGAACGCACAUUGCGCCCGCCAGUACUCUGGCGGGCAUGCCUGUCCGAGCGUCAUUUCAACCCUCAGGGCCCUCCAGCAGGGCGCUGGUGUUGGGGAUCGGCAGUCCCAGCGGCUGCCGUCCCUGAAAUGUAGUGGCGGUCCCACCGUGACCUCCCCUGUGCAGUACAUCGCUCGCAGAGGGACAGCGGUGCGGCCACGCCGUAAAACGCCCAACUCUUCAAGGUUGACCUCGGAUCAGGUAGGAUUACCCGCUGAACUUAAGCAUAUCAAUAAGCGGAGGA
Molecule: unclassified non-coding RNA, 348 nt
Filed under: soil metagenome
Description: partial contains 5.8S ribosomal RNA, internal transcribed spacer 2, and large subunit ribosomal RNA
Rfam family: 5.8S ribosomal RNA (bases 1-120)
Source: RNAcentral